This 2357-nucleotide ribosomal RNA is filed under the name Yersinia pestis biovar Orientalis str. India 195. Its description in RNAcentral is "bacterial LSU rRNA". It matches the Rfam family "Bacterial large subunit ribosomal RNA", at positions 1 to 2380 of the family's 2925-position model. The record is from RNAcentral. Lineage: Bacteria; Pseudomonadati; Pseudomonadota; Gammaproteobacteria; Enterobacterales; Yersiniaceae.
GGUUAAGCGACUAAGCGUACACGGUGGAUGCCUAGGCAGUCAGAGGCGAUGAAGGGCGUGCUAAUCUGCGAAAAGCGUCGGUAAGCUGAUAUGAAGCGUUAUAACCGACGAUACCCGAAUGGGGAAACCCAGUGCAAUACGUUGCACUAUCGUUAGAUGAAUACAUAGUCUAACGAGGCGAACCGGGGGAACUGAAACAUCUAAGUACCCCGAGGAAAAGAAAUCAACCGAGAUUCCCCCAGUAGCGGCGAGCGAACGGGGAGGAGCCCAGAGUCUGAAUCAGUUUGUGUGUUAGUGGAAGCGUCUGGAAAGUCGCACGGUACAGGGUGAUAGUCCCGUACACCAAAAUGCACAGGCUGUGAACUCGAUGAGUAGGGCGGGACACGUGACAUCCUGUCUGAAUAUGGGGGGACCAUCCUCCAAGGCUAAAUACUCCUGACUGACCGAUAGUGAACCAGUACCGUGAGGGAAAGGCGAAAAGAACCCCGGCGAGGGGAGUGAAAUAGAACCUGAAACCGUGUACGUACAAGCAGUGGGAGCACCUUCGUGGUGUGACUGCGUACCUUUUGUAUAAUGGGUCAGCGACUUAUAUUUUGUAGCAAGGUUAACCGAAUAGGGGAGCCGUAGGGAAACCGAGUCUUAACUGGGCGUCUAGUUGCAAGGUAUAGACCCGAAACCCGGUGAUCUAGCCAUGGGCAGGUUGAAGGUUGGGUAACACUAACUGGAGGACCGAACCGACUAAUGUUGAAAAAUUAGCGGAUGACUUGUGGCUGGGGGUGAAAGGCCAAUCAAACCGGGAGAUAGCUGGUUCUCCCCGAAAGCUAUUUAGGUAGCGCCUCGUGAACUCAUCUUCGGGGGUAGAGCACUGUUUCGGCUAGGGGGCCAUCCCGGCUUACCAAACCGAUGCAAACUCCGAAUACCGAAGAAUGUUAUCACGGGAGACACACGGCGGGUGCUAACGUCCGUCGUGAAGAGGGAAACAACCCAGACCGCCAGCUAAGGUCCCAAAGUCAUGGUUAAGUGGGAAACGAUGUGGGAAGGCACAGACAGCCAGGAUGUUGGCUUAGAAGCAGCCAUCAUUUAAAGAAAGCGUAAUAGCUCACUGGUCGAGUCGGCCUGCGCGGAAGAUGUAACGGGGCUAAACCAUGCACCGAAGCUGCGGCAGCGACGUUUAGGCGUUGUUGGGUAGGGGAGCGUUCUGUAAGCCGUUGAAGGUGACCUGUGAGGGUUGCUGGAGGUAUCAGAAGUGCGAAUGCUGACAUAAGUAACGAUAAUGCGGGUGAAAAACCCGCACGCCGGAAGACCAAGGGUUCCUGUCCAACGUUAAUCGGGGCAGGGUGAGUCGACCCCUAAGGCGAGGCUGAAAAGCGUAGUCGAUGGGAAACAGGUUAAUAUUCCUGUACUUGGUGUUACUGCGAAGGGGGGACGGAGAAGGCUAGGCUGGCCGGGCGACGGUUGUCCCGGUUUAAGCGUGUAGGGGGAGUGACCAGGUAAAUCCGGUUGCUUAUCAACCCUGAGGCGUGAUGACGAUGCACCACGGUGCAGAAGCAGUUGAUGCCAUGCUUCCAGGAAAAGCCUCUAAGCAUCAGGUAACAUUAAAUCGUACCCCAAACCGACACAGGUGGUCAGGUAGAGAAUACUCAGGCGCUUGAGAGAACUCGGGUGAAGGAACUAGGCAAAAUGGUGCCGUAACUUCGGGAGAAGGCACGCUGGCGUUAGGUGAAAGGACUAGCUCCUGGAGCUGAAGCCAGUCGCAGAUACCAGCUGGCUGCAACUGUUUAAUAAAAACACAGCACUGUGCAAACACGAAAGUGGACGUAUACAGUGUGACGCCUGCCCGGUGCUGGAAGGUUAAUUGAUGGGGUCAGCCGCAAGGCGAAGCUCUUGAUCGAAGCCCCAGUAAACGGCGGCCGUAACUAUAACGGUCCUAAGGUAGCGAAAUUCCUUGUCGGGUAAGUUCCGACCUGCACGAAUGGCGUAAUGAUGGCCAGGCUGUCUCCACCCGAGACUCAGUGAAAUUGAACUCGCUGUGAAGAUGCAGUGUACCCGCGGCAAGACGGAAAGACCCCGUGAACCUUUACUAUAGCUUGACACUGAACAUUGAGCCUUGAUGUGUAGGAUAGGUGGGAGGCCUUGAAGUGUGGACGCCAGUCUGCAUGGAGCCAACCUUGAAAUACCACCCUUUAAUGUUUGAUGUUCUAACUCGGCCCCAUGAUCUGGGGUGAGGACAGUGUCUGGUGGGUAGUUUGACUGGGGCGGUCUCCUCCCAAAGAGUAACGGAGGAGCACGAAGGUUAGCUAAUCACGGUCGGACAUCGUGAGGUUAGUGCAAAGGCAUAAGCUAGCUUGACUGCGAGA